RNAcentral lists this long non-coding RNA (1781 nucleotides) under Salmo salar (Atlantic salmon). RNAcentral's name for it is "lncRNA (ENSSSAG00000096213.1)". Lineage: Eukaryota; Metazoa; Chordata; Actinopteri; Salmoniformes; Salmonidae. The record is from RNAcentral.
ACACAACGCAGACGACACCUUGUUAUAAAACACAGUACGUUUUUUAUUAUCAGUCAAAAUUACAACAUCAGAUCAAGCGUUUUAACCCCGUCCUACUGGCGUUAAAACUCUCAAAGGAGAAAGUGUAGGAUACCUAGAAAAUAAAGACGCUCAGAAGGAGGAAGUGUAGGAUAUCUAGAAAAUAAAGACUCUCGGAAGGAGGAAGUGUAGGAUAUCUAGAAAAUAAAGACGCUCGGAAGGAGGAAGUGUAGGAUAUCUAGAAAAUAAAGACUCUCGGAAGGAGGAAGUGUAGGAUAUCUAGAAAAUAAAGACUCUCGGAAGGAGAAAGUGUAGGAUAUCUAGAAAAUAAAGACGCUCAGAAGGAGGAAGUGUAGGAUAUCUAGAAAAUAAAGACGCUCGGAAGGAGAAAGUGUAGGAUAUCUAGAAAAUAAAGACGCUCAGAUUUGAAAAUCAGAGGUUUUCCUAACAGCCUAAUCGAGGUGUUUUACAAGGCUACAUGUAAAUCCUUCUGCUGACCUUAACUAGUUGCUUAUCAACAGGGACGGCAGCGUAGCCUAGUGGUUAGUUUAGCGCGUUGGACUAGUAACCGAAAGGUUGCAAGAUCGAAUCCCCGAGCUGACAAGGUACAAAUCUGUCGUUCUGCCCCCUGAACAAGGCAGUUAACCCACUGUUCCCCGGUAGACCGUCAUUGUAAAUAAUAAGAAUUUGUUCUUAACUGACUUGCCUGGUUAAAGGUUAAACAAACAUUUAAAACAGAGAAUGACUAUCCAAACUAAGCGAGACCAGGAUUUAUCUUAACGCCGCUCCGUGCAGCCAUCGGAUAAACCCCAGGAGCCCCUCUGGACGGCUCUUAUUAACGCCGCUCCUCCGCUGUCAAAACGUCAGCUGAAAACCCCCAUCUGAUUGGAUCUACAGUAACUAGACCUUCCCUGAGCGAGACGCCGAACACAUUGACUUACCAACAUCCUGGUUACUAACGGGGAGGCUGGGGGAUUCAAUCCAAUUACAGGUGGUUACUAACGGGGAGGCUGGGGGAUUCAAUCCAAUUACAGGUGGUUACUAACGGGGAGGCUGGGGGAUUCAAUCCAAUUACAGGUGGUUACUAACGGGGAGGCUGGGGGAUUCAAUCCAAUUACGGGUGGUUACUAACGGGGAGGCUGGGGGAUUCAAUCCAAUUACGGGUGGUUACUAACGGGGAGGCUGGGGGAUUCAAUCCAAUUACAGGUGGUUACUAACGGGGAGGCUGGGGGAUUCAAUCCAAUUACAGGUGGUUACUAACGGGGAGGCUGGGGGAUUCAAUCCAAUUACAGGUGGUUACUAACGGGGAGGCUGGGGGAUUCAAUCCAAUUACAGGUGGUUACUAACGGGGAGGCUGGGGGAUUAAAUCCAAUUACGGGUGGUUACUAACGGGGAGGCUGGGGGAUUCAAUCCAAUUACGGGUGGUUACUAACGGGGAGGCUGGGGGAUUCAAUCCAAUUACGGGUGGUUACUAACGGGGAGGCUGGGGGAUUCAAUCCAAUUACGGCUUGUAGACAACAACAACAACAAAAAGCAAUGUUUGCAGUCAUGUAAAGGCUGUUAUCGGUCGACGGGGGAAAUGUAUAUUUUAACAACUGCAUCAACAGCUGUCCAGCUCGCUGCUCAACAGAGAGAAUCCUGGUCUGAAUGAAUGUCCCCAGGCCAGAUAGAUUAUUACAGAGGGGAUCAGCAGGUCCUACAUCAGUGUGAAUGACACCCCCUCUUCCACUCUCAACACAGGAGGGAGGGAGGGAGGAGGGAGG